AUUGAACGCUGGCGGCAGGCCUAACACAUGCAAGUCGAGCGGAAGAAGGGAGCUUGCUCUUGGAUUCAGCGGCGGACGGGUGAGUAAUGCCUAGGAACCUGCCUGGUAGUGGGGGAUAACGUCCGGAAACGGGGGCUAAUACCGCAUACGUCCUGAGGGAGAAAGUGGGGGAUCUUCGGACCUCACGCUAUCAGAUGAGCCUAGGUCGGAUUAGCUAGUUGGUGGGGUAAAGGCCUACCAAGGCGACGAUCCGUAACUGGUCUGAGAGGAUGAUCAGUCACACUGGAACUGAGACACGGUCCAGACUCCUACGGGAGGCAGCAGUGGGGAAUAUUGGACAAUGGGCGAAAGCCUGAUCCAGCCAUGCCGCGUGUGUGAAGAAGGUCUUCGGAUUGUAAAGCACUUUAAGUUGGGAAGAAGGGCAGUAAGUUAAUACCUUGCUGUUUUGACGGUACCAGCAGAAUAAGCACCGGCUAACUUCGUG
RNAcentral lists this ribosomal RNA (484 nucleotides) under uncultured bacterium. Its description in RNAcentral is "partial 16S ribosomal RNA". It matches the Rfam family "Bacterial small subunit ribosomal RNA", at positions 30 to 507 of the family's 1533-position model. The record is from RNAcentral.